UUGAUUUUUUAUUUUGGCAACAUACACAUUUUCUAUUUUUCGCAGUCUCCCAUUCAUUUUUUUUCUUUUUUUUUUUUCGCUAAACUCAGAUUUAUGAGGACUGAACCUCUAUUGUAAGGUAGUCGACAGCGGAGUCCGGUAGGGUUUCGGCGAAGGAAGAAGAAGGGGAAGGGAUCUCGUUGAGGUCGAUUACAAGACCUCAACGAUUGCUGUUAUGGUCGCCGCCGGUGGAAUCGUUGAGUUCCUGGAAUCCUUCAAAUGAUUUGCUUCAGCUAUUUCAGCCUUUUGGAGUCAUAACAAAGCUUGUGAUGUUGCGUGCCAAAAAUCAGGGGGAGAAAUGUUUAUGUCCAGUUUUCCUCACAUCAAGAAUUAACUACAAUGGAUCAAAGUCAAGGACGAGAAGACGAGGGGAAGGUCAUAUUCGUAAGAUUUUUGCUAGAGAUUGACGUGUUAGGUUGAGUUGAAAAGAUGAAAAACACAGAGAGAAUUGCCAAUUUGGCUUUAGCAGAAGCUGAUUCAUUGGACUAACUUUUUCUCACCAAGAUGAGGCCAAAAUCUGCACAAAGACACAUUAAAGAAUAACCUCAUAGGGAAUAACAUGCUUUGAAGAGAAGGACAUGGAUGAAGGGAUGUUUAAGGUGAAGAGAGUUGAUGAAGCUGUGAGUAUUUUGCUUCCGCAAACGCCAGAAAAGAUGAGGCAGCUUCUGCAGCUAACGUUUGUUAAGCCUAUCAAAGUCAUGCCAUCAUGUUUCAUCAAUGAUUACAUUGAUGUUUGAAGGAGUGAGCAAAAGUUAGUGGCCAACUCAUCAAAGGUGGGACCCGGUGGAAUUGAUAACCCAGCAUACACAAUACUUUGGGAAGAACACGACCAGGUAUUUCCACUGGAAUUAGCUCACAGACUGAAAAGGUUAUUCUUGAAGGUCUAUGGCAGGAAGGAUUUAUGGCACUUGCUGCAAUUGAAACCACAACUAUUGGGUCAAUUGAGGUAACGGAGCAACAUUUCCGUGCUCAACCUUCUUCGUAUUCUGCUACUCAUCAGCCAUAAUAGAUUACUUAUGUUUAAACAUUUUAGUUGUAUUUACAUUGUGAUUACUUUUAUGAUUAGUUUGUA
This is a long non-coding RNA of Gastrolobium bilobum, 1111 nucleotides long. RefSeq lists it as uncharacterized. The transcript has 8 exons. The record is from RefSeq and is a predicted model, not a curated record. Lineage: Eukaryota; Viridiplantae; Streptophyta; Magnoliopsida; Fabales; Fabaceae.